CGCACGGGUGAGUAACACGUGAAUUAUCUACCUCCCGAGUGGGGGAAUAACUGAGAGAAAUCUUAGCUAAUACCGCAUAACACUUACGAGUCAAAGCAGCAAUGCGCUUGGAGAGGAGUUCGCGGCCGAUUAGUUAGUUGGCGGGGUAAUGGCCCACCAAGACGAUGAUCGGUAUCCGGCCUGAGAGGGCGCACGGACACACUGGAACUGAAACACGGUCCAG
Molecule: ribosomal RNA, 223 nt
Filed under: uncultured bacterium
Lineage: Bacteria
Description: partial 16S ribosomal RNA
Rfam family: Bacterial small subunit ribosomal RNA
Source: RNAcentral